This 547-nucleotide ribosomal RNA is filed under the name uncultured bacterium. RNAcentral describes it as "bacterial SSU rRNA". It matches the Rfam family "Bacterial small subunit ribosomal RNA", at positions 355 to 896 of the family's 1533-position model. The record is from RNAcentral.
UGGGGAAUAUUGCGCAAUGGGGGGAACCCUGACGCAGCCAUGCCGCGUGAAUGAAGAAGGCCUUCGGGUUGUAAAGUUCUUUCGGUAAUGAGGAAGGGAUGUUGUUAAAUAGAUAGCAUCAUUGACGUUAAUUACAGAAGAAGCACCGGCUAACUCCGUGCCAGCAGCCGCGGUAAUACGGAGGGUGCGAGCGUUAAUCGGAAUAACUGGGCGUAAAGGGCACGCAGGCGGACUUUUAAGUGAGAUGUGAAAUCCCCGAGCUUAACUUGGGAACUGCAUUUCAGGCUGGGAGUCUAGAGUACUUUAGGGAGGGGUAGAAUUCCACGUGUAGCGGUGAAAUGCGUAGAGAUGUGGAGGAAUACCGAAGGCGAAGGCAGCCCCUUGGGAAUGUACUGACGCUCAUGUGCGAAAGCGUGGGGAGCAAACAGGAUUAGAUACCCUGGUAGUCCACGCUGUAAACGCUGUCGAUUUGGGGAUUGGGCUAUAUGCUUGGUGCCCGAAGCUAACGUGAUAAAUCGACCGCCUGGGGAGUACGGCCGCAAGGUUA